CAGAGAAUAGUUUAAAAAAAAUAUUAAUUUUGGGGAUUGAAGAUGAAGGUUUAUUUUUCUCUGAA
This 65-nucleotide transfer RNA is filed under the name Apotamonautes hainanensis. RNAcentral's name for it is "tRNA-Pro". The record is from RNAcentral. Lineage: Eukaryota; Metazoa; Arthropoda; Malacostraca; Decapoda; Potamidae.